This 300-nucleotide ribosomal RNA is filed under the name Prochilodus magdalenae. RNAcentral describes it as "partial small subunit ribosomal RNA". It matches the Rfam family "Bacterial small subunit ribosomal RNA", at positions 1051 to 1496 of the family's 1533-position model. The record is from RNAcentral. Lineage: Eukaryota; Metazoa; Chordata; Actinopteri; Characiformes; Prochilodontidae.
GUCGCAAGCUUACCCUGUGAAGGGCCCAUAGUAAGCAAAAUGGGUAAAUCCCAAAACGUCAGGUCGAGGUGUAGCUUACGAGGUGGAAAGAAAUGGGCUACAUUUUCUACAACAGAAUACUACGGACAACACCAUGAAACUGGUGCUCAAAGGUGGAUUUAGUAGUAAAAAACAAAUAGAGCGUGUUUUUGAACCAGGCUCUGAGACGCGCACACACCGCCCGUCACUCUCCCCAUUACCCUAAACUAAACAGUAAAUAACCAAACGCACAACAAAGCGGGGAGGCAAGUCGUAACAUGG